UCGAAAAUGUUGUCUCUCUUGAGUGGAUCCUGAGUACGACGGAGCACGUGAAAUUCCGUCGGAAUCUGGGAGGACCAUCUCCUAAGGCUAAAUACUCUCUAGUGACCGAUAGUGAACCAGUACCGUGAGGGAAAGGUGAAAAGCACCCCGGAAGGGGAGUGAAAUAGAACCUGAAACCGUGUGCUUACAAGUAGUCAGAGCCCGUUAAUGGGUGAUGGCGUGCCUUUUGUAGAAUGAACCGGCGAGUUACGAUUUGAUGCAAGGUUAAGCAGUAAAUGUGGAGCCGUAGCGAAAGCGAGUCUGAAUAGGGCGUUUAGUAUUUGGUCGUAGACCCGAAACCAGGUGAUCUACCCUUGGUCAGGUUGAAGUUCAGGUAACACUGAAUGGAGGACCGAACCGACUUACGUUGAAAAGUGAGCGGAUGAACUGAGGGUAGCGGAGAAAUUCCAAUCGAACCUGGAGAUAGCUGGUUCUCUCCGAAAUAGCUUUAGGGCUAGCCUCAAGUGAUGAUUAUUGGAGGUAGAGCACUGUUUGGACGAGGGGCCCCUCUCGGGUUACCGAAUUCAGACAAACUCCGAAUGCCAAUUAAUUUAACUUGGGAGUCAGAACAUGGGUGAUAAGGUCCGUGUUCGAAAGGGAAACAGCCCAGACCACCAGCUAAGGUCCCAAAAUAUAUGUUAAGUGGAAAAGGAUGUGGCGUUGCCCAGACAACUAGGAUGUUGGCUUAGAAGCAGCCAUCAUUUAAAGAGUGCGUAAUAGCUCACUAGUCGAGUGACACUGCGCCGAAAAUGUACCGGGGCUAAACAUAUUACCGAAGCUGUGGAUUGUCCUUUGGACAAUGGUAGGAGAGCGUUCUAAGGGCGUUGAAGCAUGAUCGUAAGGACAUGUGGAGCGCUUAGAAGUGAGAAUGCCGGUGUGAGUAGCGAAAGACGGGUGAGAAUCCCGUCCACCGAUUGACUAAGGUUUCCAGAGGAAGGCUCGUCCGCUCUGGGUUAGUCGGGUCCUAAGCUGAGGCCGACAGGCGUAGGCGAUGGAUAACAGGUUGAUAUUCCUGUACCACCUAUA
This 1065-nucleotide ribosomal RNA is filed under the name Staphylococcus aureus. RNAcentral's name for it is "partial 23S ribosomal RNA". It matches the Rfam family "Bacterial large subunit ribosomal RNA", at positions 379 to 1452 of the family's 2925-position model. The record is from RNAcentral. Lineage: Bacteria; Bacillati; Bacillota; Bacilli; Caryophanales; Staphylococcaceae.